Molecule: ribosomal RNA, 1024 nt
Filed under: Lactiplantibacillus plantarum
Lineage: Bacteria; Bacillati; Bacillota; Bacilli; Lactobacillales; Lactobacillaceae
Description: bacterial SSU rRNA
Rfam family: Bacterial small subunit ribosomal RNA
Source: RNAcentral
UUUGAUCCUGGCUCAGGACGAACGCUGGCGGCGUGCCUAAUACAUGCAAGUCGAACGAACUCUGGUAUUGAUUGGUGCUUGCAUCAUGAUUUACAUUUGAGUGAGUGGCGAACUGGUGAGUAACACGUGGGAAACCUGCCCAGAAGCGGGGGAUAACACCUGGAAACAGAUGCUAAUACCGCAUAACAACUUGGACCGCAUGGUCCGAGUUUGAAAGAUGGCUUCGGCUAUCACUUUUGGAUGGUCCCGCGGCGUAUUAGCUAGAUGGUGGGGUAACGGCUCACCAUGGCAAUGAUACGUAGCCGACCUGAGAGGGUAAUCGGCCACAUUGGGACUGAGACACGGCCCAAACUCCUACGGGAGGCAGCAGUAGGGAAUCUUCCACAAUGGACGAAAGUCUGAUGGAGCAACGCCGCGUGAGUGAAGAAGGGUUUCGGCUCGUAAAACUCUGUUGUUAAAGAAGAACAUAUCUGAGAGUAACUGUUCAGGUAUUGACGGUAUUUAACCAGAAAGCCACGGCUAACUACGUGCCAGCAGCCGCGGUAAUACGUAGGUGGCAAGCGUUGUCCGGAUUUAUUGGGCGUAAAGCGAGCGCAGGCGGUUUUUUAAGUCUGAUGUGAAAGCCUUCGGCUCAACCGAAGAAGUGCAUCGGAAACUGGGAAACUUGAGUGCAGAAGAGGACAGUGGAACUCCAUGUGUAGCGGUGAAAUGCGUAGAUAUAUGGAAGAACACCAGUGGCGAAGGCGGCUGUCUGGUCUGUAACUGACGCUGAGGCUCGAAAGUAUGGGUAGCAAACAGGAUUAGAUACCCUGGUAGUCCAUACCGUAAACGAUGAAUGCUAAGUGUUGGAGGGUUUCCGCCCUUCAGUGCUGCAGCUAACGCAUUAAGCAUUCCGCCUGGGGAGUACGGCCGCAAGGCUGAAACUCAAAGGAAUUGACGGGGGCCCGCACAAGCGGUGGAGCAUGUGGUUUAAUUCGAAGCUACGCGAAGAACCUUACCAGGUCUUGACAUACUAUGCAAAUCU